This 407-nucleotide ribosomal RNA is filed under the name uncultured bacterium. RNAcentral's name for it is "partial 16S ribosomal RNA". It matches the Rfam family "Bacterial small subunit ribosomal RNA", at positions 30 to 526 of the family's 1533-position model. The record is from RNAcentral.
AUUGAACGCUAGCGGGAUGCCUUACACAUGCAAGUCGAACGGAGUGGCGAACGGGUGAGUAAUGUAUCGGAACGUGCCCAGUAGCGGGGGAUAAAUACGCGAAAGCGUAGCUAAUACCGCAUACUAUUGGAGCGGCCUAUGGCGGAUUAGCUAGUUGGUGGGGUAACGGCGAACCAAGGCGACGAUCCGUAGCGGGUUUGAGAGGACGACCAGCCACCCUGGGACUGAGACACGGCCCAGACUCCUCCGUGAGGCAGCAGUGGGGAAUUUUGGACAAUGGGGGAAACCCUGAUCCAGCCAUCCCGCGUGUGCGAUGAAGGCCUUCGGGUUGUAAAGCAGUUUUGGCAGGGAAGCGUUACCUGCAGAAUAAGCACCGGCUAACUACGUGCCAGCAGCCGCGGUAAUAC